CCUACGGGACGCAGCAGUGGGGAAUAUUGGACAAUGGGCGAAAGCCUGAUCCAGCCAUGCCGCGUGUGUGAAGAAGGCCUUCGGGUUGUAAAGCACUUUCAGUGGGGAAGAAAGCCUUGGGGCUAAUACCCUCGAGGAAGGACAUCACCCACAGAAGAAGCACCGGCUAACUCCGUGCCAGCAGCCGCGGUAAUACGGAGGGUGCGAGCGUUAAUCGGAAUUACUGGGCGUAAAGCGCGCGUAGGCGGUCUGAUAAGCCGGUUGUGAAAGCCCCGGGCUCAACCUGGGAACGGCAUCCGGAACUGUCAGGCUAGAGUGCAGGAGAGGAAGGUAGAAUUCCCGGUGUAGCAGUGAAAUGCGUAGAGAUCGGGAGGAAUACCAGUGGCGAAGGCGGCCUUCUGGACUGACACUGACGCUGAGGUGCGAAAGCGUGGGUAGCAAACAGGAUUAGAUACCCUUGUAGUC
Molecule: ribosomal RNA, 465 nt
Filed under: Vreelandella stevensii
Lineage: Bacteria; Pseudomonadati; Pseudomonadota; Gammaproteobacteria; Oceanospirillales; Halomonadaceae
Description: partial 16S ribosomal RNA
Rfam family: Bacterial small subunit ribosomal RNA
Source: RNAcentral